RNAcentral lists this transfer RNA (87 nucleotides) under Candidatus Borkfalkia faecavium. RNAcentral describes it as "tRNA-Leu". It matches the Rfam family "tRNA". From Rfam's summary of the family: Transfer RNA (tRNA) molecules are approximately 80 nucleotides in length. Their secondary structure includes four short double-helical elements and three loops (D, anti-codon, and T loops). Further hydrogen bonds mediate the characteristic L-shaped molecular structure. tRNAs have two regions of fundamental functional importance: the anti-codon, which is responsible for specific mRNA codon recognition, and the 3' end, to which the tRNAs corresponding amino acid is attached (by aminoacyl-tRNA synthetases). tRNAs cope with the degeneracy of the genetic code in two manners: having more than one tRNA (with a specific anti-codon) for a particular amino acid; and 'wobble' base-pairing, i.e. permitting non-standard base-pairing at the 3rd anti-codon position. The record is from RNAcentral. Lineage: Bacteria; Bacillati; Bacillota; Clostridia; Christensenellales; Christensenellaceae.
GCCGCUGUGGUGGAAUUGGCAGACACCCGGGACUUAAAAUCCCGUGGAGUAAGAUCCGUACCGGUUCGAGCCCGGUCAGCGGCACCA